RNAcentral lists this ribosomal RNA (297 nucleotides) under Triticum aestivum (bread wheat). RNAcentral describes it as "partial small subunit ribosomal RNA". Lineage: Eukaryota; Viridiplantae; Streptophyta; Magnoliopsida; Poales; Poaceae. The record is from RNAcentral.
AUGGUAUGGUAUGGAUUACAGGCCAAUCCUACUCUAUUAGUAUCCGUAGGCAGCAUAGGGGAGAAAAGCACUACACCUAGAAAUAGGAAUCAACAAGAGAAAAACUUUGUUAGAAAUUACCCCUUUCCUGAUCGAAAAGCACUACACCUAGAAAUAGGAAUCAACAAGAGAAAAACUUUGUUAGAAAUUACCCCUUUCCUGAUCGGUAUCAGGGCUGGGAAGAAUGGUUGGGAUAACAAACAACCAUCAGGUUUGUACUUUGGAUACCCCUAUAACCAUCAAAGAUCGUUGAAGUAG